GGGGCUUACAUAUUCUCUGAGACUGGGAAAUGGUGACUGAUGAAAGAAAGGGCUGACUGAGGGCAAGCUGCUGCAGCAUGGAUUCUCCUUCCCAUCACAGCACACCAGUAGGCAACUGGGUCCUGGUGCAGAACACCACCUGACGUGGUUAGCCUGUUAUCCCCUGGCUGUUUGGUGUCAUGCUAUUGCCACUGCCAGGGCUGUCCCAUGCUGACACGGUGAUGACACUGGAGAUUGUGUCUUUCUCUGCAAUUACAUCUGCACAAAACUAGUUCUAGCCCAGCAAGUGCCAUUGCAUGCAGCAUCGACAGGAAGAUGAGACUCCAGGGAGCUCCUUAGCACUGAUGUCCCUGAG
This is a long non-coding RNA of Oxyura jamaicensis (ruddy duck), 355 nucleotides long. RefSeq lists it as uncharacterized. Lineage: Eukaryota; Metazoa; Chordata; Aves; Anseriformes; Anatidae. The record is from RefSeq and is a predicted model, not a curated record. The transcript is spliced from 3 exons.